CCCUUAGAUGUCCUGGGCCGCACGCGCGCUACACUGACAGGUUCAACGAGUUUAUUCCUUGCCCGAUGGGGCUGGGUAAUCUUUUAAACGCCUGUCGUGCUGGGGCUUGACAAUUGCAAUUAUUUGUCACCAACGAGGAAUUCCUAGUAAGCGCAAGUCAUCAGCUUGCGUUGACUACGUCCCUGCCCUUUGUACACACCGCCCGUCGCUGCUACCGAUUGACUGGAUCGGUGAGGUCUACGGAUUGGCGCGUGGCCUGUGGCAACACAGCUACGCGCCGAGAAGUUACCCAAGCCACUUCAGUUAGAGGAAGCAAAAGUCGUAACA
RNAcentral lists this ribosomal RNA (327 nucleotides) under uncultured eukaryote. Its description in RNAcentral is "partial 18S ribosomal RNA". It matches the Rfam family "Eukaryotic small subunit ribosomal RNA", at positions 1470 to 1796 of the family's 1831-position model. The record is from RNAcentral.